Pelobates cultripes (western spadefoot toad) is the source of this 259-nucleotide non-coding RNA. NCBI's taxonomy places the organism in Eukaryota, Metazoa, Chordata, Amphibia, Anura, Pelobatidae. The record is from the annotation of a GenBank genome assembly.
CAGGAAUCUACAGCAAGACUUUGUCUGGUAAUGGAUGCUCAAAGGGAUGACCCCUAUCACUUAGACUACCUGUCAGAACACAACAGAUGACGGAACUUAGAGCUAGUGCUUUAUCCUAUUAUCCCUCACAGGUCCUUACUGCCAUAUUAGGCACUAUAGGGCUUUUUACCCUGUGCCUGCCUGGGGUGCUACCCCUAUUACCAUGAUGCUUUUUGGAGGUCGCCCUGUGGCCACCUCUGUGAUCCUGGGUGAGGCCCAG